Molecule: ribosomal RNA, 806 nt
Filed under: Cellulomonas sp.
Lineage: Bacteria; Bacillati; Actinomycetota; Actinomycetes; Micrococcales; Cellulomonadaceae
Description: bacterial SSU rRNA
Rfam family: Bacterial small subunit ribosomal RNA
Source: RNAcentral
CGGUGAAGCCCAGCUUGCUGGGUGGAUCAGUGGCGAACGGGUGAGUAACACGUGAGUAACCUGCCCCUGACUCUGGGAUAAGCCUUGGAAACGAGGUCUAAUACCGGAUACGUGACGCUCAGGCAUCUGAUGCGUCUGGAAAGAUUUAUCGGUCAGGGAUGGACUCGCGGCCUAUCAGCUUGUUGGUGGGGUAACGGCCCACCAAGGCGACGACGGGUAGCCGGCCUGAGAGGGCGACCGGCCACACUGGGACUGAGACACGGCCCAGACUCCUACGGGAGGCAGCAGUGGGGAAUAUUGCACAAUGGGCGCAAGCCUGAUGCAGCGACGCCGCGUGAGGGAUGAAGGCCUUCGGGUUGUAAACCUCUUUCAGCAGGGAAGAAGCGCAAGUGACGGUACCUGCAGAAGAAGCGCCGGCUAACUACGUGCCAGCAGCCGCGGUAAUACGUAGGGCGCAAGCGUUGUCCGGAAUUAUUGGGCGUAAAGAGCUCGUAGGCGGUCUGUCGCGUCUGCUGUGAAAACUCGAGGCUCAACCUCGGGCUUGCAGUGGGUACGGGCAGACUAGAGUGCGGUAGGGGAGACUGGAAUUCCUGGUGUAGCGGUGGAAUGCGCAGAUAUCAGGAGGAACACCGAUGGCGAAGGCAGGUCUCUGGGCCGCAACUGACGCUGAGGAGCGAAAGCAUGGGGAGCGAACAGGAUUAGAUACCCUGGUAGUCCAUGCCGUAAACGUUGGGCACUAGGUGUGGGGCUCAUUCCACGAGUUCCGUGCCGCAGCAAACGCAUUAAGUGCCCCGCCUGGGGAGUAC